This 434-nucleotide ribosomal RNA is filed under the name uncultured bacterium. RNAcentral describes it as "bacterial SSU rRNA". It matches the Rfam family "Bacterial small subunit ribosomal RNA", at positions 958 to 1392 of the family's 1533-position model. The record is from RNAcentral.
AACGCGAAGAACCUUACCUGGGUUUGACAUGCACAGGACGACUGCAGAGAUGUGGUUUCCCUUGUGGCCUGUGUACAGGUGGUGCAUGGCUGUCGUCAGCUCGUGUCGUGAGAUGUUGGGUUAAGUCCCGCAACGAGCGCAACCCUUGUCUCAUGUUGCCAGCGCGUUAUGGCGGGGACUCGUGAGAGACUGCCGGGGUCAACUCGGAGGAAGGUGGGGAUGACGUCAAGUCAUCAUGCCCCUUAUGUCCAGGGCUUCACACAUGCUACAAUGGCCGGUACAAAGGGCUGCGAUGCCGUGAGGUUUAGCGAAUCCUUUAAAGCCGGUCUCAGUUCGGAUUGGGGUCUGCAACUCGACCCCGUGAAGUCGGAGUCGCUAGUAAUCGCAUAUCAACAAUGCUGCGGUAAAUACGUCCCCGGGUCUUGUACACACCG